RNAcentral lists this long non-coding RNA (2134 nucleotides) under Brassica napus (rape). RNAcentral's name for it is "long non-coding RNA (BNAP_LNC016018)". The record is from RNAcentral. Lineage: Eukaryota; Viridiplantae; Streptophyta; Magnoliopsida; Brassicales; Brassicaceae.
CACCUUGAGGGCAUGAAAUGCCUAGAGAUCUAUGUUAGUAUGAUCAAGACUAAAAUAGCAUUGACAACCCUCAACAAGCAAGGAGACAAGUAGAUCUAACACUAAACACCCUAGAUCUUCUCUAAUCACCCUUAAUCACCCUAGCCCAUGAAUCCAAGAUUAGUCUACUCACUAAUAGACAUGGAUAACCCCAAAACCAUGGAUGAUUCAAGGUUAAACAUGAUUAGAGAGCAAGAUAAUCACACAAACACAAAGAAUAUAGAUGGAAAAAGAUUAAAGAUCCAAAUUUUCUUUAAAAAGGUUUAUGUGUUCUUAGAGAGAAAAGAAGAUAAGUCAUAAUUUUAGGUUUAGAGAGUAUUUAUAGGACUUCUAAAAACCUAGUGGGCUCAGUCAAUAAAUCUGACUCGCAGCGGCUUCCUGACCCCGCUCCAUGAGGUCGCUCUGGAUGUCGUCUGUUACACCAAGGAAUGCCNNNNNNNNNNNNNNNNNNNNNNNNNNNNNNNNNNNNNNNNNNAAUGCCGAGCGGGUUCGUCAUCCCGCUCCGGAUGGUCGCUCUGGAUUGCAGCGGGUUGGUUACCCCGCAACGGAGGGUCGCUCCAGCUCCUUGCUCCGUGUCUUCAAAGAAUGGCGAGCGGGUUCUCCUACCCGCUCCGGCUGGCCGCUCCAUGUUGUUCUGUGUAGAGCGGGUGCUCUAGGUCGCUGCGAGAGCCCCCUCUGAUACUCAACUCGUCCAAUGAUCAUAAUUCACCCCCUUUUUGGACCACAAUGUCUCCAAACUCCUCCAAAAACUCCAAACGAUACACCAACACCUGAUAAAGACUUAUGAAUGCAAAAUGGAUCCUAAAGAUGCCUAAAUCUAUUCUACAUGAUCAAAAUAUACAAGAAAGGAUUAUUAAAAAUAUGUAAAUAUGCAAGAUAUCAUAAAUGGAGUCGGAGUUAUGAUGAGAAAUAAAUCAUAAGGACUCAAUGUAACGAGUAGGAACGAUAUACCAGACCGAAAUAGAUGUCGACCGACGUAAGGAUGUUGAUGUCGGUCGACGCAGGUAAGGCAAUGUAGAUCGAUGUCGACUUGUUCGCGUCGGUCGAUACAGAUGGCAAUCGUCUACUCGGAUCUUCUUUUUGUUUUGUUUUUAUUUAUUUAUUUAUUUUAUUUUUUAUGACCUGCAAUAAUUAAAAACCAACAAAAAUAGUAAAUCAAUGAAAACUUAAUAAAUAUUACCUAAUAGUGGGUUGCCUCCCACUCAGCGCUUUGUUAUAGUCAUUUAGCUUGACUUUGGAGGUGUUUUGGCUAGUAGUGUUGAGAACUGGGAAUUGUUGGAAAACAAGUAUCUAUCUCCUCUUUGAGCUUGUUGAACCAUGUACCAGUGAAGUCUCUCAUUGCUUCAUCCCCUCUGCGCCAUUUAUCCUUCAUUACUGCAAUCUUUCACCAAGACUCUCAAGGUUGAAUUGAUGUCAGGUAAGUGCGGCGUAAGUGUCAGCUGAGAUCUCCUUUCCAUGGUAAGGUGUGUUGGACGUGUCGGAUGUUGUCUUUGGUACUAGCAUGCUCCGGUUUGUAUCAAUGUCGAUCGAUGCUGAAUGGUUGGUGUCGAUCGAUUUGUUGAUGCGUCUGUCGAUCGAUAUCGAUGCUUCUGGUCGACGUGCAAUGUAACUCUGAAUCUCCACCAACUCCCCUUGUAUAGCUUCAACCUUGGAGGUCAAUGCACUGAUGGUAAGAUCCAUUGGAAAAUGGAUGUCAUCACACCUCCCAUCAAACAACUAAUCUCUUAGGUAAAGCAAGCUAAAAGCAUUGAAGAGUUGGUUAAGGCAUUUCAUCAUACACCUUGUGGGUAGGAAAUGCCUAGAGAUCUAUGUUAGUAUGAUCAAGACUAAAAUAGCAUUGAGAACCCUCAACAAGCAAGGAGACAAGUAGAUCUAACACUAAACACCCUAGAUCUUCUCUAAUCACCCUUAAUCACCCUAGCCCAUGAAUCCAAGAUUAGUCUACUCACUAAUAGACAUGAAUAACCCCAAAACCAUGGAUGAUUCAAGGUUAAACAUGAUUAAAGAGCAAGAUAAUCACACAAACACAAAGAAUAUAGAUGUAAAAUGAUUCAAGAUCCAAAUUUUCUUUAAAAAGGUUUAUGUGUUCUUAGAG